RNAcentral lists this ribosomal RNA (129 nucleotides) under uncultured eukaryote. Its description in RNAcentral is "partial 18S ribosomal RNA". It matches the Rfam family "Eukaryotic small subunit ribosomal RNA", at positions 1679 to 1801 of the family's 1831-position model. The record is from RNAcentral.
CUCCUACCGAUUGAAUGGUCCGAGUGAAGUUUUCGGAUCGCGCCGACGCCGGCGGUUCGCCGCCGAGUGACGUUGUGAGAAGUUCAUUAAACCUUAUCAUUUAGAGGAAGGAGAAGUCGUAACAAGGUU